GAGCGAACGCUGGCGGCAGGCUUAACACAUGCAAGUCGAGCGGGCGUAGCAAUACGUCAGCNGCAGACGGGUGAGUAACGCGUGGGAACGUACCUUUUGGUUCGGAACAACACAGGGAAACUUGUGCUAAUACCGGAUAAGCCCUUACGGGGAAAGAUUUAUCGCCGAAAGAUCGGCCCGCGUCUGAUUAGCUAGUUGGUGAGGUAACGGCUCACCAAGGCGACGAUCAGUAGCUGGUCUGAGAGGAUGAUCAGCCACAUUGGGACUGAGACACGGCCCAAACUCCUACGGGAGGCAGCAGUGGGGAAUAUUGGACAAUGGGCGCAAGCCUGAUCCAGCCAUGCCGCGUGAGUGAUGAAGGCCCUAGGGUUGUAAAGCUCUUUUGUGCGGGAAGAUAAUGACGGUACCGC
This 410-nucleotide ribosomal RNA is filed under the name uncultured rape rhizosphere bacterium wr0027. RNAcentral describes it as "bacterial SSU rRNA". It matches the Rfam family "Bacterial small subunit ribosomal RNA", at positions 27 to 481 of the family's 1533-position model. The record is from RNAcentral.